Zalophus californianus (California sea lion) is the source of this 378-nucleotide long non-coding RNA. RefSeq lists it as uncharacterized. The record is from RefSeq and is a predicted model, not a curated record. The transcript is spliced from 3 exons. Lineage: Eukaryota; Metazoa; Chordata; Mammalia; Carnivora; Otariidae.
UAAGGAACUCAUGAGGUACUGGUGAGUGUCAGCUGAGAUUUCAGACAUGUGUUGUAAAAUCUUAAACAUGCUACAAGUAUAAGAAGCCUGACUAUUCUCAGGGAGCGGCAACAUUUCAGGACUUCUUGGGUGGAAGAAAGUUGGCAGAGAGAAAGUCCACAGAGGAGUCUCUUAAUGAAUAUAAUGGCAGCAAAGAAGAGUGGCCACAGCUCACUCACCACGAUCUUUCCUCCAACUAGAAGCCUGUGCUGCAUCACCAGACCUUCAUUCUUGAUGUCCCAGGUUGGUCCCAUCCAGAAGUAGAAGCCACCAUGUUAGCUGGAAGAGUGGAUUUUCCAAGCUCCCAGCAGAAAGAAAAUCAAGAAUAAACUUGUGACU